GACGAACGCUGGCGGCGUGCCUAAUACAUGCAAGUAGAACGCUGAAGAGAGGAGCUUGCUCUUCUUGGAUGAGUUGCGAACGGGUGAGUAACGCGUAGGUAACCUGCCUGGUAGCGGGGGAUAACUAUUGGAAACGAUAGCUAAUACCGCAUGAUAUUAAUUGUCGCAUGAUAAUUAAUUGAAAGAUGCAAUUGCAUCACUACCAGAUGGACCUGCGUUGUAUUAGCUAGUUGGUGAGGUAACGGCUCACCAAGGCGACGAUACAUAGCCGACCUGAGAGGGUGAUCGGCCACACUGGGACUGAGACACGGCCCAGACUCCUACGGGAGGCAGCAGUAGGGAAUCUUCGGCAAUGGGGGGAACCCUGACCGAGCAACGCCGCGUGAGUGAAGAAGGUUUUCGGAUCGUAAAGCUCUGUUGUAAGAGAAGAACGGGUGUGAGAGUGGAAAGUUCACACUGUGACG
This 464-nucleotide ribosomal RNA is filed under the name Streptococcus sanguinis. Its description in RNAcentral is "bacterial SSU rRNA". It matches the Rfam family "Bacterial small subunit ribosomal RNA", at positions 28 to 474 of the family's 1533-position model. Lineage: Bacteria; Bacillati; Bacillota; Bacilli; Lactobacillales; Streptococcaceae. The record is from RNAcentral.